GGCAAUUGCUUUCGCAAAUGGUUGGAUAAAGGUUCCAAUAAGAUGAUUAAACUCUCAAUGCAGCAACAAGGGCUUUUUGGAUGUCUCAUUCUGACCUUUUGUCUUCAUUUGAGUUCUCUAUGUAUAAGAGUAAUCCCAUUUCUAUACACAUUCUUUUUGUUUUGUGAAGAUAUAGAAUUUUAACUUUAUUGCACUUGCUAUUUCCUUAGUCUGCACAUAACUGGUACAUUUCUUGCAAGCUGUUAGACAUUUCUAGUAAGAUGUCUUCGGGUUGUGUAUCGGUCGGUUCGAUUUUGAAGUUUAUUUGUUCGACUUAUCGGUUAUCGAUUUGUAAACAUGUUAAAUCGUUAAGAAUCAUUAAGAUAUUGGCUUAUCGGGUAUCGAUUUAUCUUGCUGCAAAAACAACACCAACACAUCGUAGAAUAACUGGAAGUUAGAGAUGCUAAAAAUAAAAAAUGAAACUAAAUCCUAAAUCAAGGACUUUAUAUAUCGAUUGGUAUAACUAUAAUAUAUUAAUAUACUAUUGGAUUAUUGGUUAACCCGUUAGCAAAAAACCUCAAACUGUUAAGAAUCGUUAACCUGAUAAUAAAAAAAUCAAAAUUGUUAAAUCAACAAUCCAUUACCGAUAAAUCAAUAACUUUUUUUCGAUUUGGUUUAACUAUUUUGGAUCGAUUUUGAAAAGCCCUGCUCUCAGCACACAAAUAUUAAAGAACAAAAUAGAAUGUGAAAUCUAGGUCCACAAACUUUUCUAAUUUCACGGCCUAGCAGACGAGGGAAAACGAUAUUAUAAACGAUAAAAUUUGUGUUGAGAAAAAUAAUAAUUAAGACAGAAAAAUGUUGCAACAAUCAUAGUAUUUGAUUUCAAAUAUAAUGAGUGUCACAAUUUUAUGAUAUUUCUCUGAUUCUUUAGUAAUAAUACGAACUAUGCUAAUUUCAAAUAUAAUGAGUGUUACAAUUUUAUGAUAUUUCUCUGAUUCUUUAGUAAUAAUACGAACUAUGUUAAAUGAAUUUGAUUUGAUUCAAAUGUUGAAAUAACUUUAAUAUUCGUCUUGGACUUGAUUUGAGUAAUUAUCUGUUGCGAACACUUGGAUGUUGGUAACGAAUAAAGGAUUUAGAUUUCACAUUCCAAAAAUGUUCUUUAGCUCGAAUGUUCUCGGAAUCUUGGCUUAUACAUAGAAAAUUAGCAUUUUCGAUUCCACUAGCUCUCUCUUGCUUCUUGCUAUCGAUUUCUAGAAUUGUUACGGGAACAAACUUUUUUCCACCAAUCAAAUCAUAUUUGAUAGUAUAUGUCACUAGUACACAUGACACAUUUUUAUUGGUCUUUCAUUUGAUUAGGUAUACUAUGUCAUAAUGACAGGUGGCAUGAUUUUAUUGGCUCAUUCAUUUGACUUGGUGUGCCACAUCAUGUGACCGUCAAUUUGGUCGACCUUUAGGAUAAAAUGAGAUUUUGAGCUUGACAAAGUGGGCUCGUCAUUUGUAGAUAUCACGAUCCAGACCGUUGUGAUUGACAUCCACACAAACCCUUCGGUGGGAAAAUCAUUACUACAACCCAAACAAACAAAUUUUAAGAAAACUAAGACAUGUAAAGAUACGGAAGCAGGUUUAAAUGACUAUAAAAACGGAGUCCCCAUAAACUCCAAGGUUUUAACAAACAACUAACCAAACUAAUGCGGAAGAACAACCCCUAGAACCUGAAAGUCAUUGUACCAAAACUCUACUAAUGACAAGUCUAAGAACAAGGGGUACAACCCCGAAACUAAACAACACCUUAAACAAAUAGUCUGAGUCCGAAAAGAGUGGACUUAAACAAGAAAGAUCCAUGGCAGCCCGAAAGAAUGGGCUCACCCUUGAAUCCGGUCACGCUCAAUAGUUAUCUAGCUGAGGUCUAUCAAUAGCCGCCUGAAGAUGCCUUGUACUCAACAAAGAACAAGCAAGUGCAGUAUCAGUACACAACCACAGUACUAGUGUACUGGUAGGAUCAUGCGGUUAUCCCAAUAAGUGAAGCACAUGCAAGUAACCAUAACAUUAUAAAGCAGGCAUAUACCGAACAUAUACAAUAUUAGUCAUCUUUUCAGGAUCAAUGUAGCAUCACAUAUUCUCAAUAAUACACAUUGGUUAUCAAUUUAGAGCAACAUACAGUCUUCCAAUAUCAAUCAUCAUUAGAUAUCAACGUAAUCAUCACAAGUAGAUACACAACACAAUUCAAUUGUCCUCUCACGGAACCCAAUUCAAUGGUCCUCUCAUGGAACCCACACCCAAAACUGUUAGCAUACCGGAACGUGGUACCUGAUCCAAUGUUUAUGCCGGAAUAUGGUAACCGAUCCCAUAAUUAUGUCGGAAUGUGGCAACCGAUCCCAUGUUUAUGCCGGAACGUGGCAACCAAUCCAUUCAACAAACCACAAUCACAAUCACAAUGUAUAUUCUCAUAAUCAUACAACAAGAGGUGAUUCAUGGCAUACAAUUAUUCAAUUAUCCUCAUUUACGAUUAGGGUGAUCAAUAAUGCAACAUUCACAUACAUACAUGCAUUAUAAUGAGCAAUUACAAACAUAUAUCACACCAACAUAAAAUCACAAUCAUUACCUACCUCAAAUACAAGCUUGAAUCCCUUAAGGCACUUGAAUCUUCCCUUUCCAGAUUCUUCCCGCUUGUUCGUGGUCUAAAAACAACAAUUUAUACGCAAGGAUCAACGAUCAAAGAUCUAAUUAUCAGGAUUAAACAAACUCAAUAACCCUAGACCAAACCCUUGAUCCCCAUACCCAGAUUAGUGCUUUUUCCACCAUAAAUUCCAGAUGAAAACCUCCCCCAUCGAUAAUUACCCAAGAAACUGAGUUCUACGAAUCGAAAAAUAGAUUCGGGAAGUGAAAACCUUACCUUUAGCAACGGUCAAGAACUCGGUUGGGGUCGUCUCCUAGCUCUCAAAGUCGAAAAGUGCAGAAUAAAACAUUUUUGGGGUUUUAUUUCCGACUUAAGUCGCAUCUGUCCCGCUAUAGCAGCCCCGCCCUGGCGGGAAUAAUUCCACCACAGCGGCUUGCAUGGAAACAGUGAGCAGAUUUAAGAAUUCCAAACCCCCAUUUCACAACACACCUUUAUCCCAUGACACUCAGAAAAUACUCGUUCACGCUAAGAUUAAUUUUGGGAGUUCUACUCACUCGAAUUCAAUUCCGUAAAGUCGUACAGGUUCUAUAACGUCUUAGAUAUCCACUCAUGUAAUCAAAUUCCUUAAUAGAUCUCUCAUUUGUUACCAAAUUUUUCUAGACCUCAAUGACUAUGAUUUCGUCCAAAUCUGGACUAAGCUAGGAAAUCUCAAGUUACUACGAAAAAGUUUUUUAGCCCCAAUUCUUUUCCCAGAGGGUUUUCCAUAACGAUGGAAUCAAGUCAUUAUAAUAGAUACUAAUUUAUCCAUCACACGUCCUCGAGUGAUCAACUAGGAAAGAUUGGCUAAAAAAUAAAGGUAGAGUAGUAUCUGAAUCGUCGAAUUAUUGGGGAUACUUGUUUCGCCUGCUCAUCUUAUCGAAUCUCAUUACCCCCUAAGGGUUACACAUCUCCAACCUCAAACCAACCAAUUGAAUACCUACACAUCCUCCCUUACAAUGCCUCAAUGAAGUCAUCACAAUGCUCGAGGGAUAAUUAUUGUUGUAUGUACACUUAGCUAACCACAAAGUUAUUCCCAAUAACCACCAAAGUUUGACCGUACGUACACAUGUCUGCAACAUGCUAUCAAGGACUUUGACACAAACAUCAGGAUAAAUCAUUUCUCACAUAACCAUGAUAAAUCCUAAAUCAAAACUCGCCAUAAUUAGAGGUGAACCUGAACCAACCAACACACAAUCAUAAUACCCGAACAAUCAUAGUUCUUAUCAACAUCUCCAUCUCACAACCCAAUUUCCCAUGAGUUUAAGUUAUAAAAAAAUUGGUCUUUAGAAAUCAGAUACUCAUCGAGGGAUAUGUCCAAGCAUACAAAUCCUCCAACAACACUAUCAAAAUGCUAGAUUUAGAAAUUGUAGAUUACCUCUUAAGAACAGUAGAAUUGGACCCAAUGAUUCCUACAUUCAACCACACAUAAUCGAUACAGGACCUCGACGACUAGAGAAAUAUUAAGAUUACCGGACAACGACAAAUACGCAUGGUAGCUCUUCUAUAAAAUUCUCAUAAGCAAGGUGGUACAUGUAGAACCACUAAAAUACUUUAACAACUCCAAGACAACACUAAUUAUAGUCAUUCGAAAUAACCAAAAUCUUCCCAAUCUUCCCACUAAACCAAGAGAACAUCGCAGGAUUUGGUACCCCUGAUCUACUACUAGGGAUCCACCCACAAAAGUGAAAAUACACUAGAGCAUAGCUAGUGAAUCAUACUCACAAUACUAACAACCUUUAUACACACUCCGACCAUUUACCUUAUUAUAAACCAACACUUUUAAAAAUGAAACCUUUCUUAGGUACUUAACAAUCAAUAGUAGUAAACUUACGACUCAACCCAGGUGUAAGUCCUUUCAAAUGCUCAAUACCAGAUACAAUUGAUCAUUUCUCACCUUAAUAAUUCAUACCUUGACAAAAUAUAUCACCACGAAUGUAGACUCACAAUGAAAAAUCUAAAUUGUAAUUUCCACCAUAUAACACAAUCUUUUCUCUAUCAACAUUAGCUUGUACCUUGAAGAUUUUUAUGAAUUCAUGGAUCUCCGUUUAUCAUUGAUCGCAUCUCCAUCGAUCUUACCAUAUAUUUCGCUAAAAUUUCAAUCAUACUCAUUACUAGCCUAAAAAACAAAACCAAGCACUUGUCAUCACACUCAAGCUAAUGUUCGCACACUCCUUUCUCAAGUCUUUUUCGACAGUUUUGACCCAUCUGAUGGACCCAUAACACUAUUACCAUAGCCACAACAAAACAAUGAAAUCACGCGUCUCUGAACCCAAUUAUCUACCCCACUAAAGAUAUAUCUUUAGCCCUUGCAAUCAAAUAAAAUAUUCUUGCUCUAGCCUCUCUCUUAAGUUUGUCCUACAUCCCACUAUAUUUUCCUUUAUUAUAACUCUAGCUCUUUAACAUUCUAUUUGAGUGGUGUCCCACCAUCUCUUAAACUUUCCAUACAACCACGUUACUCACCCAAUAUUAGAAAACCACGACCUUAGACACUCGUAAGUCGUACUUACUAUACAAAAUUCGCUUUACCAAUAAUCUUAUUAUAUAGUUGCAUCCCAUCACAAUCCAUCACGAACUCAUACCACCAUUACACUCGGUUAGCCCUGGCUAUCACUACGAAAUCAACCUUUUUAUCAACAAGACACCUCAAACUCAGGUAUACCCAUCAAAUUCAAAGGGCUAACCCAAUUUUAUACACAUUUACUUACAAAACUGUUCAAUCACCUUCACUCAUACUCAAUGGGACUUUCUUUAUCCAUAAGCUUGUCAUUUUGGUAUUAAUCCACUUCAUUAUGGCUUAAGAUAAAAUCACCAAUCCUCAUACUACCCUCCAUCUUCUUAACAACAAGACAGGAGCACCCCAUGGUGAAGCACUAGGACGGAUGAAACCUUAUCAAGAAGCUCUUGGAUUUGAGCCUUAAGCUCUCUUAAUUCUGCUGGAGACAUAUGAUACGGAGGGAUGGAAAAUGGGGCAAAGUGCCAGUUUCCAAGUCAAUGCAGAAAUCUAUAUCUCUACCUCCAACCAAUCUAUCUACCACACCUCCAAAACGGCCGACAAUUUUUCUGGAUAGGUCGAACUAUUGGAAGAAAAUAGAAAAGGAAAACCGAGUGGGAAUUAAUGAAAUUACACCUAUAUCGUGAGUUGGAGGAAAGCCCAUCUUUUUUUGCCUACUCUUGGUGCCUAUGUACCGUACUCUUUUUGUACCUCGAAAGGGGGGUCCUCCUUAUGAUGACUCAGACACCACAAGAACAAACUCAAUAGAGGGAGACUAAACCUCAACAUCCCAAACAUGAGCCAUUUAAGCCAAACAACCCUGCCCCACCAAUUUCCUAGCCCAAAUGGAGGAUAUGAUCUUAGCUAGCUUAGGCUUGUACACCCCUUCCCACUCUAAUCUUUCCUUAUCGGAAAUCUCUAGAGUUACCGACUUAGUAUUAUAAGUAAGCACGGUAUAACGGAGGGGGGGGGGACAAUCAAGUCAUGCCUAAGAUUAUAUCAAGUCAGUCAUAUCCAGCAUAACCAAAUCAACCCAAGUAUGAAAAUCCAUAACCUCAACAUGACAACACGAUACACAUGGGUUUCUAUGACUGACUAUUCAACUAGGGUAGAAACAUGGAUGGGGGCAUCAAAAAUAUAACAAACCACAUCAAAUCCCAAGGCAAUUGAACUGACACAUACGAAUAAGUAGAACCCGGAUCAAACAAAACAAUAGCCAUCCGGGCACAUACAAGAGUAGCACUAGUGACCACUACAUCACACACCUCAACUCGGUCUUGAUCGAAAACACAUAUAACUUAGCCCUGUCAUCUUGACAGGCAACCUCCUCUCCUGGCUGCACUACUCCUCUACCUGCAUUACCAUUUCCCCGGCCUUGCUGGUUUCCUCCUCAUAUGUCCAGGUUCUCCACAAUUUUAACACACUUUAUAACUUAUAUUCAAUUACUGAACACUGAAUUAGAUCGCGGGGGUUAGUUCAAGUACGAUUCGGGGUCCAUAAUUGUGACUAGGGAAAACAGGAGAGAUAGGGCUGAGAUUCUGUCUCGCCUUAUCCCGCUCUAGAGGCCUCACCUUGGCAAGAAAAUCCCACCCCAGCGGUCCCGACGGAAACAGAAUCCCUACUAACAAUUUUUCUGGGGUUCCUCUCUUUUCUAUAUUUCCCCUAGAUUUCCCAACUAUAACUAGGCAUUUAAGAAAAUCCCUUUAGCUAGGGCAAUCAUUGUCUACCCCCCGGUCAACCCAACGAAGUACACACUUUAGAAUCCUUUUACAUCGUUUCAACACUACCACACACAUAUCACAGGAUACACCCAGACUCUCACACGGUUAUCAAUUGGUCACAACGCACGUCCAAAUUUCUCGCUUACUAACCACAUCAUAAUUUUUCUAGACCCUUGUACCUAAUCUCGUGAUAAUUUUCUUUUCAUAACAAAUUUCACGAUACUCGAGUAGUUACAACUUGCAGACAAGUCCAAAUUCUUUAAUUAGUUCGUUCCAUAGACGACCAUUACUGAUCAUUUAUGCCUUAUACGACCCCUAAGGCCAUAUACCAAUUGGAACCUUCUCAGUUCCAAUUAACUUUCUUGUGUCCUUUCAACAAGGACUACAUCGUCUAGUUCACUUCGUUGAGAUACCAAUUGGACUCAACUCAUACCACAAGCGACAAUGGUAGCUAGCGAGCCCUAUAAAACUGCUAAUUUCAAUCAUAGAACUUGGUCGAACCCAAUUCUUAACCGCCUCAACCCUUAACUAAUGGUAAUCAGACCUUAAAUCAAUCUUAGAAAAAAUCGAUGCACCUUGCAAUUGGUCAAAAAGGUCAUCUAUCCAAGGCAAUGAAUACUUGUUAUAAAUGGUGACCCUAUUCAACUAUCGGUAGUCUAUACACAUCCUCUCUUACUAGNNNNNNNNNNNNNNNNNNNNNNNNNNNNNNNNNNNNNNNNNNNNNNNNNNNNNNNNNNNNNNNNNNNNNNNNNNNNNNNNNNNNNNNNNNNNNNNNNNNNNNNNNNNNNNNNNNNNNNNNNNNNNNNNNNNNNNNNNNNNNNNNNNNNNNNNNNNNNNNNNNNNNNNUUUUUCCUAAAGUCCUAUAGCCUCUCGAAAAAAAGUACGAACGUCAUCGUAUCGUUCCGCAAGACUCUACUAGACUCAUUUUUGUACCAUGAGAUCAACAAACCCAGGACUCUGAUACCAACUUUAUCACGACCCAGACCGUCGUGAUUGACAUCCACACAAAACCCUCCCGGUGGGAGAACCAUUACUACAACCUAAACAAAUAAAUUUUAAGAAAACUAAGGCAUUUAAAGAUACGGAAGCAGGUUUAAAUGACUAUAAAAAUGGAGUCCCCAUAAACUCCAAGGUUUUAACAAACAACUAACCAAACUAAUCCUGCUCAUUUGUUGAAACAUACUCUGGAUGUAUUAGCCCUUGCUGAACCUUUUCCCUUAUGAAAUGGCAGUCUAUUUCUUUGUGAUUUGUCCUCUCAUGAAAUACAGGAUUACUUGUUAUUUGCAUUGCUGCUUUGCUAUUUGUAAGUAGUCAAAUUGGUGUAGUUAUCUCCACUCCCAAAAACUUAAACAAUCCCAAUAGCCAAAUUAAUUCUGAUACUGUCGGUGCCAUGCUCCUGUAUUCUGACUCAGCUGAGCUCCUUGCCACAAUGUUUUAUUUCUUUGACUUCCAAGAGAUUAAUGACUGUCCAAAUUUCAUAAUAUCGCCAGUCACUGACUUUCUUGAAUUUGGACAACUGGCCCAAUUAGCAUCACAAUAUGUUGUGAGAGAAGCACUUCCUUCUGCACUCAUUAAGAUUCCCAGACCUGGUUCAUUCUUUAUGUAUCUUACAACUCUGUGUGCUGCUUCUAGGUGAGACUUGUUAGGAUUUUGCAUAAACUGACUCAAGGUCUGAACACUAUAUGCAAUGUCUGGUCUGGUUAGUGUUAAGUAUAGCAAUUUUCCUAUCAGUCUCUGAUAACCUUUGAUAUCACUCAACAGUGCAUCAUCCUGCAAGCCACAAUGCUGGUCAUACUCCUGACUUGUGAGCUUCUGAUUUUGUUCAAGUGGUGUCAUUGCAGUUUUGGAUCCUGCCAGUCCUAGAUCAGCAAUUAGUUACGGUGCAUACUUCCUCUGGCACAAUAGAAUCCCCUUCUUGGACCUGCAAACCUCAAUUCCUAAGAAGUAUUUCAAAGACCCUAGAUCUUUGAUCCUAAAAGCUUUAUGUAACACAUCCUUAGCCUCCUGAAUUAGUCCCUCAUCAUCUCCUGUAAUCAGUAAGUCAUCUACAUAGACCAAUAUAAUCACCUGCUUGCCAUGCCUUCUUAAGAUGAAUAAUGAAUGAUCAUGUUGACUCUGAUUGAAAUGUGCUGCUAAUAGGGCAUUAGUAAGUUUAAGUUUCCAUUGUCUGGAUGCCUGUUUGAGACCAUAUAAGGAUUUGAGAAGCCUGCAACCCUGAUUCUGCCCCACCUGGCUACCAAAUCCAGGAGGAAACUGCAUAUAAACCUCUUCUUCAAGAUCACCUUGCAAGAAGGCAUUAUAGACAUCUAUUUGGUAUAAGUUCCAGUUGUGCAUGGAAGCCAAAGCAAUAACAGCCCUGACUGUAACCAUUUUGACAACAGGGCAAAAAGUUUCCUGGUAAUCUAGACCUUCAAGUUGUCUGUAACCCUUGGCAACCAACCUAGCUUUAAACCAUUCAAUAUCUCCAUUGGAAUGAUACAUGAUCUUGUAGACCCAUUUACAGCCAAUAGGAACCUUCCCUUUAGGAAUAUCAAUCACCUCCCAAGUCUUGUUUUGAACAAGGGCUGUGAUCUCAGUCUGCAUGGCAGCAAGCCAUCUGGGAUCUGUGACAGCCUCAGCAUAAGAAGAAGGCUCAACUUCAGAAGAAAUAGAAGCCAAGUAAGAUUGGCAAUGUGGAUUAAGAGAGGCAUAACUAACAUAAUUGGAGAGGGGAUAAGAGCAAGCUUUGGUUCCUUUGGACGGGCAAACAAAAUUUGUCAUCCAAAUAGGAGGUCUAGAAGGUCUACAAGACUUUCGUGCAGGUGGAUGAGGACCAUCAAUGGUCUCAGCAGGAACUGAUGACUCUUGUAAAGGUGAAUUGGAUGCAGAAAUAGGCUUAUCAGGGGAAUGCACAAUCUCAGAUGCAACAGGAGGUGGAUAACAAUCAUCAGAUGUACCCUCUAAUUCUGGGAAAAGUCUGUUGUAAUCACUACGCUUCAACUGGAGAAAAGGGAAUAUAUGUUCCCUGAAGGAUACAUCCCUACUCACAAAGUACCUCUUGGACUUAAAAUCAUAAUAUUUGUAAGCCUUUUGUGUAGCAGAAUAGCCCAUGUGUACUGCAGCAAUAGCUCUAGGAGAAAAUUUAUCUACUUUCUCAGUGACAGUUGCAAAACACAAGCAACCAAUAACUCUGAGAUGGGAAAGUGAAGGCUCAGUUUUGUGAAAAACUUCAUAUGGUGAUUUUCCAGCUAAUACAGUAGAUGGUAGUCAGUAGACUGCUGUCAAAACACAAUCUCCCCAGAAAUGGAGUGGUAGAUUCCCUUGAAACUUUAAAGCUCUUGCCACUUCUAAAAUGUGUCUAUGUCUUCUUUCCACUACUCCAUUUUGUUGUGGAGUAUGUGGACAACUACUUUGAUGCCCAAUUCCACUUUGGAGUAGGAAACCUGUACAUUCUUUACUAAAAAAUUCAGCACCAUUAUCUGUUCUUAUCAUCUUAACAUGCCUAUCAAACUGAACAGUUGUCAUUUUAAUAAAGGAUUUAAGCAAAACAACAGCAUCACUUUUCAUUUUCAUCAGAAAAAUCCAUAUCAUCUUAGAAUGAUCAUCUAUAAUAGUGAGAAAGUAUCUAUGACCAGCAUUAGUAGAAACCUUGUAGGGUCCCCAGAUGUCUAUAUGAAGCAACUGAAAAAGUUUUGUUGAUCUAGUAACACUGUGAGGAAAUGGCUUCCUAGUUUGUCUAGGAAUAGGACAUACAAUGCAAUUAUCAAAACUACAGACUGCCACUUUAUUUUGUAGGAAAGACAACUUUUGCAUAACACCAGCUGGGAAGUGUCCAAGUCUUUUAUGCCAUGUUUGAACAUCAUCUAUGACCUUUUCUGCAAGGCUGCUGCUGGUUCUACUGCAAAUCUUCUCAGAACCUUUUGGCUGUAGGAGAUAGAGACCACCCUCUUCCUUACCAAUCCCCUUCACUUUCCCAGUAUAAAGGUCCUGGAAGACACAAAAUAAAGUGUGAAAAGAAUAUCACUGAGCACGAUAAUUCUUUUGUUAGUUGUGAUACUGAUAACAAGUUAUACUUGAAACAUGCACAUAUAAGACAUUUCCCAUGGCAUAGCCACCUGCAAUAUGACAUGUUCCUUGGUAAUCAACUGGUAUUGUCUUACCAUUAGGAAGAUAUACAUUACUCCUUAUUGUGUCAUAUGUGUUGGUCACAUUAUUAGUCAAUAAGUGCAAAUUACUGGUCAUGUGGUCAUGUGGUCAUGUGGUCUGUGGUUCCAGUAUCAAUUAUCCAAGCAUCUGUACAAUUCAAUUGUUCAAUGAGUAUUGUCAUUUUGUAGAUCAAUAAGAUUGAUAUACAUCGAAAUCUCAGAUCAUGUAGUAUAAUUGGAAUCUCUCUUCACGGUUGGAUCAAUCUAAACUUGAAUGAAUUUGACAGGUUAUGAUUUUAUGAGCUAUUUUUGUCAACUCUAGAUAUAACAAAAACUAUCUUUCCAUAGUGACAAAACAUUAUAUUAGUGUUGAUCUCAAUAAAAAAUCACAUGAUAACAUCUUAUUCUCUCCGCUUCAAAAUAAAUGAUGUUUAAAAUCAAACCAAGUAUUUUGAAAGAUUUUUUACGCUAAUAAAAAAGAAUACUCUAAUUCAAAAGAAUAUUUGUUGCUUCUCUUUGAGUUUAUAAGUAAUCGACUUACUCAGUUUUAUAUGAUAUCAUUUUGAAUUAAAAAAAAAAUGAUAGAUAUGAAUAUAUUUGUACACAAGAAAAUGUCCAAAUUUACCUUCUAUUGAUCGAAAACAAUUUAAACUUACACCUCAUUAUAAUUUUAGGUCACUAAUAUUCUUGUUAUUAGCAUACCAACUCAUAUUAAAAAUGCAAAUAACAAAAAAUAUGAAUACACAGGGAAGGUCAAAAUAAAUCCCAAGCAAUAAAUCCAAAUUGAGGUAAAUCUUAGAAUUAUGUUAGAGUUCAGCUAGUAUUGGCAUCACUUUAAAAAUGGAUUAUAUUGUUCACGAUAAAUUCAGCCCAAAACAAAAUUAUUUUGUGUCCAAUUCAUAUAUAUAUAUCAUCAUCAUCAUCUGCAUAGAGUGUAUAAUAAACUCUCUGAUAAUCAUAUAAUACUUAGUUUUAUCUAGCUCUUAUUUUCUUCAUGCUUGUUAAUUAGUAGAGGUUUGUUAUCUCAUUAGGAUUGGUAAGGUAAGGCCUAGCCCCCCUUGCUUGUACUUAUUCACGUUGAGGAUUUUAUCUUAUUAUUAAUAAAAGGCCGCUAGACACCCUGUACGUCUAGUGGUAUAAAUUUGUGUUUUUUUUUAAAAAUAAAAAUAAAAUUAAUAUAUAUAUAAUUUAUACAUUUGUAGACUAAUUGGACAAGUGUAAUUGGCCAUAAUUAUCCCUAAUAAUGUCUUUCUUUCAAGACCAUAGUUCCCUUACAGUGAAAAAUUAAGAACUCUACUUUUGGGUUCCUACUUAAAGAUUGAAAACUCGCAAAUGAGCUUUUUUGAUUUAUUAAUUUGUAUGAAAAAUUGAUGAUUGAGUUUGUUGAUGAUGUCAUUUUGAAGCUAUUUCUACACUUGAUGUGAGUAUUAGUUUUGUUUUUGAAUUAUUGAUAGCCUUAAAAACGUUUUUUAAUUUGACUAAUUGAACUUAAAUACACCUCUCUCAUAUCAUACACAUAAAUGUGUUAUUCACGCGUGUACACAUGGUUUUCUACUGAUGUGACAUAUACAUAGAUAUAUUGUAUGAAAUGAGAGGGUGUUUUAAAAGUAGAGAGAUAUGUUAAGGUUUGUUAAUGAUUGAGGUUUCUUAAUAAUUUGUGGACGAAACUAAUAAUUUCGCGAAGUUCAAGAAUGAAACUAACAACCUCAUCUUUAUUUUAUUUUACAAUAUUAUUUAUUACUUUUCAUUUUCUUAUUGUCGAGGGAUACUAAAAUCCAUCUCCAUUAGAUUAUUUCCUUAUAACCUAUGUACGUUCGUUAGAUUCUUUCCUUAUAAUUUAUCCGAUCUAAAAUAAUAUAUCAACCCCAUGAAUCAUUUUUUUUUCAAAAAAAAACAAAGGCCUCAAAAACAUGUUUAGUGAGUAUAACUUACAGUUAAAUUGUUUACUUCGGUGUAAGUACACAAAGACCAACUAUUGGUUCAAUAACACUCUUUAGUCUCAAGGGGUCGAGAAUUAAUUCAAUUUUUGUUUACAUUCUUUAAUUAAAUACGAAAUUUCUUCUUAAACAUGCCCCAACUACUUUUAUUAUUCAUUAUAAAUAUUUAUUAUAUGAAUUAUGAUAACCUGAUUAUUUUUUUAAAAAAAAUUGAUUCAUAUUGUUAGUAUAUUAUUUCGGAUGAAAAAAUUAUAGGAAAAAAUCUUAUGGGAUGUAGUUUUUAUUUCACCAAAUAAGAAAGUAAUAAAUAAAAAAUAAUAUUUUAUAAAUAAAAUAAUAACAAGGUUGUUAGUUUCAAGGGUAUAAGUGAGUUAAAAAGUGAGUGGAGAAGUAUUUUUAGCAAAAUAGGUGGAUGAAAAGUUUUUUUACACCUUUUUCUAAAAUUCAUGGUAAUUAGUUUUACGGAUAUCAAUAGUUCGAGGACGAAACUAAUAAUUCUCGCAAGUUUAGUGGUAUUUUCAACUCUUCUCUCAGCUUUUUAUCAAGAGUCACACCCUCCUACAAGAGUUUGAGACCACUUAUUACGCCAUGUGAUAGAUCAUGAGUGUAUUUAAGUUUAGUCAGUCAAAAAGAUUAAUGUUUUUAAGACUGUUAUUAAUUUAACCAUGCGUUCUCUAAAAAUAAAUAAAUUAUUUGAUGAUGUUUUUGAACGUAUUUUUGUGGGUUGACUUUCUGAGCGCACUUUGCUUUCUUAAUAUCUGUCCAACGUUUCCUUGCUGUUCUCAUAAUCUCAUUUACUACUGAUUGGUAUUAAAGGUAAAAAAUAAAGAUGGUGUAACAAUUUCAAUUUCACAAUACAAACAUUCAAAUACUACUAUAAUUACUAAACUUGAAAUUAUAAUAGGAAAAUGGACCUAACAAAAAGAACUAUUGAGAAGAUAAUUAGAAAGGAGAUAGAGAAGUAUAGAAAGGGAUGAGAAGAUUAUAUAUUUUUCUCAACAAUCUGCAUAAAUCGUUCUUUCUCAUCGUUAUCGUUUUAGCUAGUUGUUAAUUGGGUCUAGGUUCCAAAUCAGCCUUUACAAAGGCCUUUCAGUUUUAUUGCUUUUUCUCAGCCUAAUAACUAGUUGUGUGACAUCCGUAUAGAUAUCAACAUUGGACCGAAGCUGGUUCAUAACAUAUGGACUGCCCUAUUUACACAUCCCAAUUACACAUCAUGAAAUGCAAUUGAUUCUGCAUCAAUAACAAGUUAUGACUUAUUCCCACUCAUUUAUGCAGGUCUCUACUUGCCAGUUCAUGCAUUUAUGAUGUACUCACUUUAGAUAACAAACAGCUCAUCACUUGUAAUUAAUAAGAUUCUAGAAUAGCCACUUUUAAGAAUGGGUUAUCUUUAUUUCAAUGUUUUGACUCUUUAUCUUUUGAGACUUUUUCAGAACAAAGAGAUGUGUCAAGUAUAUAUAUCUAUCAAUAUUGAUAUACAAAGAUCACAACAAUAAAUGAAGAAUUUUGUGGUAAUUGUUUAGCGAUUAUAUAAUAUAACUAUUACUAUAUUAUAUUUAACAACAAUAAUAUAAUAUGACUAUAUGAGUAUUUAUAACCAGCAUUCUAUAUAUAUAUGUCACUAAAUACUUUGUCAUUCUGAUGUAAUGGAAUUAACUUAAUUACUCUUAAAUAUUUUUACGACAAUAAAUAUUGCCCUAUAAAAAAUUAAUCUAUUGUCACUAGAUAUACCUACAACUUUAGAAGGUAUAUGUGUUAUUGUCACUAAAUAUACCUAUAACUCUAUAAUUUUUUUAUUUUCUAAUAAACUUUAAGUAUUUGGUGUAUUCAAUAUAUGUAUAUGCCUUAUAUAUGUUUACAUAUAACUCAUGAAAGAACCAUAUCCGUGGAAGUCAAGAACGAAAAGAUAAGCCCGAUAUAGACAUGGAGGGAAUAUAACGUACAAAUCAUUCAAAGAAACACAAAAAUGAAUUGUAUGGAGAAGAAAAUAUUAUGGAAGGUUACUCAAGUUUAGGUGUAUAUCAUAAAAGUCACUUUUCUUUAUUUUACUAUAUAUACGCAAAAAAAAUAGUUUUUUUGGGGUAAAUUUAUAACAAGACAUAAUAUUUAACAGCGUUAAGUAAAAAAAAUAAAAAAAUCAAUAGGGAUAAGAACAUGCAAGGGGGGUUAGGCCUUAUAACCUGGCCAAUUCUAAUGAGGUAACAAACCUCUACUAUCUAACAAGCAUAAAAAAAAUAAGAGCUAGAGAGAAGUUGGUAUUUUGUCAUCACCGCAGAGUUUGUAAUACACUCUAUGAUAUUACAAAUGAGGAUGCUUAAAUAAAGCAAAAAUAUAACAACUAAGAAGAAGGUUGAGUUAUUGUAAUGACCCGGUUGUUCAUUUUUGGAAAGGUUCAUGAAUUUAUCAUUUUGACCCUCCUGAUAUUGUAACGGCCUGUUCCCGUCGUUAUGGGAAAGCCCACAGGAAAUUUUUUUGGGCCGGAAAACUUUUUCAUAGUAUCUUGAGAUUUCUCAACCUAGUUCAGAUUUGGACGAAAUCGAAGUCAUUAAGGUGUAGAGAAAUCUAGUAACAAUCGGGUGAUUUAGUUAUGAUUUUGAUUACAUGAGUAGAUACAUAAGUCGUUAAGGAAUCUGUACGACUUUACAGAAUUGAAUUCGGGUGAGUAAAACACUCGAAGUUGGUGGAAGGUGUGUUGUGAAAUGGGGUCUUGGAAUUAUUAAAAUAGCUCACUGUUUCGUGCAAGUAGCCUUGGCGGUGAUUUUGGUCGCUCUGGCGGGCCAGAUGCUACUUAAAGUCUUAAAUAAACCCCAAAACGUAUUUAUUCUGCACUUUUUGGUUUUUAGAGCUAAGGAACGAACCCAGACGAUUCUUGACAGUUUUCCACCAUUUUUAAGGCUAAAGGUAAGAUUUUAACUCCCUGAAUUCAUUUUUCGAUCCGUAGAACCUAAUCUAAUGGAUAAUUAUCGAUGGGAAAAGGUUUUGAUCUAGAAACUAUGGUGGGAAAGGCCCUAAUUUGGAUACUUAGGAUCAUGGGUAUGAUUUAGGGUUGUUAGAAUCGUUAGUAAUUUGGGUAAUUAGUGAUUGUUUAUUGAUUCACGUAUUAUAUUGAUUAUUUGUAGACCAAGAACAAGCGAAACGAAUUCGGAAAGGGAAGGACCAAGUUUCUUAGGGUUUCAAGCUUGUUUCGAGGUAGGUGAUUGUUGUGAUUCUAUGAUUGUGUGAUGUACGUUUGUUCUUGCGUCAUAUGAUACUUGUAUGUAUGCGAAUGUUGCAUUAUUUAUCACACUUGUUGUAAAUGAGGAUAUAUGAAUGAUGAAUACCAUGAAUCAUGACUUGAUUGUAUGAUUAUGAAAAUGUACUUUGUGAUUGUGAUUGUGGCUUGUUGAAUGGAUCGGGUGUUGCGUUCUGACACACUAACUUGAAUCGGUUGCCACGUUCCGGCAUAAUUAUGGAAUCGGUUGCCACGUUCAAGCAUAAUCAUUGGAUCGGGUACCAUGUUCUGGUAUGCUAACUGUUUGGGUUUGGGUUCCAUGAGAGGACCAAUGACUUGUCAUAAUUGUGUAUCUUGAGAAAUGUGAAGGUGUUCGUUGUUCGUAAAUGUUGAUAAUAUUAUAUAUGCUCGAUAUAUGCAUGUGAUUAUAUUGUUGUAUUGACUUAUGUAUGUUGCACUUAGUGGAAUAGCCGCGUGGUCCAACCAAUACACUGUGGUUGUGUACUGAUACUGCACUUUGCUCUUUCUUUGUUGAGUAUAGGGCAUCUUCAGGCGGCUAUUGACAGACAUUACUUAGAAGAUCAGUGAUCACUUUCGAAUUCAAGGGUGAGCUAGUUCUUCCAGGUUGCCAUGAGUUCUUCUUUCGUCUAUGUCCACAUUUCAGACUUAGACUUUAUAGUUAGUUAAUUAGUUCAUUAGUUUGGGGUUGUAACCCUUCUUGUUUAGACUUAUGGAUCUUGUUAGAGUUUUGGUACAUUGACUUUCAGGUUCUAGGCAUAUUUUCCGCGUUGUUUAGUUGUUAGAUCUUUUAGAAAUUUAUGGGAACUUCAAUUUUUAUUGAUUUAUUCCUGUUUUCGUAUCCUUAAAUGUUUUAGUUUUGGUUUAGUUGCUUGGUUUGGGUUGUAGUAUUGGUUCUCCCACCGGAGGGUUAGUGUGGGUGCCAAUCACGAUGAUCUGGGUCGUGACAAAAUUGAUAUCAGAGCCUAGGUUCGUUGAUCUCGAUGUACCAAAACGAGUCAAGUAGAGUUGCGGAAUGGUACAUGGAAGCCUUUACUUUUCUUUGAGAGGCUAUAGGACUUUAGGAAAUCUCUCUAUUUACUCUUGUUUCAUUUCGUGCUAUAACUUGAUUCCAAUUGGUAUCUGGCAAUUCAAAUUGUUAUCUAACCUCCGUCACUCUUCUGUCUAUGGAUGGUUAACACUAGAUUCAAUGGCGUCAGACCCGUAGCUCCCGUCAAUGCUCCAGCUGAGAAAUCUGCAGCGAGAGUUCGCGAUCGAGGAAGAGCUAGGGGUAGAGGUCUAGGAAGAGUGGUGCCUGCUAGAGAUAGGGUACCAGUCGGAAAUGCUCCCCAAAAUGAGGUCCCUCAUGUGCAUCAUGAAGAGAUAGAAGAGGAUAUUGAGGUUGAAAAUGUUGAGGAGGUUGGACAAGAGGAAGAGAUGCAGGCUGAGACUACCAGUGUUCCUCCCAUAGACCAGUAUUACCUCAACAGAUCAUGUCAUUCCUGAAAAGGUUGGUUGGUCCUAGAGUGCUUCCUUCUGCUCAAGCAACUCAAGCUCCUACUAAUCCCCCUGUUGCUAGCACUGCGCCCAAGGUGGGUGGGACUGGAGGUAAUGAUGCUUUCUUCCGUCCUUUGUUGGGUUCUGUUAUGACUGGUAAUGAGCAUGAGAUGUUGACUAAGUUUUUGAAGCUAAAGCUUCCUGUAUUUCUUGGUUAUGAGAAUGAGGAUGCUUAUGAGUUCAUCUUAGACUGCUAUGAGAGGCUUCAUAAGUUGGGAAUUGUCCAUCAGCAUGGGGUUUAGUUUGUGACUUUUCAGCUUCAAGGUGAGGCUAAACAGUGGUGGAGAGCUUAUAUGGAAUGUAGAUCUUCAACUUUACCUCCACUCACUUGGACCUAAUUUCAUGCUCUGUUUUUAGAGAAAUAUGUGCCUAGGACUUUUAGAGAUCGCAAGAAGGAUAAGUUCAUGGCUUUGGAGCACGGUGGUAUGUCUGUGGCUGCUUAUGAAGCCAAGUUCCAUGCUUUGUCUAGAUAUGCUACUCAAUUGGUGACUACUGAGGAGGAGAGGAUCCGUUUAUUUAUUAGGGGACUAAAUUCUAAGUUGCAGGUAUUAUCUGUUCAUAUGACCUCUGCAGGGAGGAACUUUAAUGAGGUAACUAAUUUUGUUAAGAAAGUGGAGGGGGUGAGGCGAGACAGUCAAGCUAAGGCAUUGGCAAAAAGAGCCAAGAACUCGGGUAACUUUCAAGGUUCUUACUCCAAGGGGUCUAGAAGGCCAACGCUUGCAGCCAGACCAAUUCAGUCCACUAUACCCGCCUCAACAGGUAAUUACUCGGGAACUCCAUCUCAAAAUUUGAUUCAGGAUAGCCAAAGAGUCGUACCUCUGACGGGUGACAAACCAUCUUUUGAUUGUACUUGCUACAAUUGUGGAGAACCUGGGCAUAUGAGGAAAGAUUGUCCCCACCCACGAGUGUUAGAUUCUGCGCAGCAGCAGAAUAGAGCAAUGGUACCCACGGAAAAUGGUAAUAAUGGUAGAGGACAUCCACAAGGUGGGCGAGGAGGUAAUCAUCGAGGCCGUGAAGGUAGAGGAAAUGGUAACGCAGGCAGGGAUAACGCGCAACCAGGCACGGAAGUAGCUCGUCAAGAUGAUAGGGUUCAGUGUUAUGCCUUUCCAAGCAAGAAUGAGGCAGAGGCGUCUGACGCAGUGAUCACAUGUACUAUUCUUGUCUGUGACCGGAUGACUAAUGUGUUAUUUGAUUCGGGUACUACUUAUUCAUAUGUAUCCGUGCGAUUUGCCUCAGAAUUUUCUAUGAUUUGUGAUAUACUUGAUAACCCCAUCCAUGUUUCUACCCCAGUUGGAAUGUCUGUCAUAGUCACCCAUGUUUAUCGUGCUUGUCCUAUUUUGUUUAAGAGGUUUCUGACUUGGGCUGAUUUGGUGAUUUUGGAUAUGGCUGACUUUGAUGUAAUCUUAGGCAUGGCUUGUUUGUCCCGUUAUUAUGCUGUGCUUAAUUGUAAUACUAAGUCUGUAACUCUAGAAAUUCUGGGAAAGGAAAAGUUAGAGUGAGAAGGGGUGUAUAAGCCUAAGCAAUCUAAGAUCAUAUCCUCUUUUCGGGCUAGUAAACUGGUAGAGCAGGGUUGUUUGGCUUAUUUGGCUCAUAUUCGGGAUGUUGAAGUUGAGUCUCCAUCUAUUGAGUCUAUUCCUGUGGUGUUGGAAUUUAGAGAAGUGUUUCCUAAUGACUUGCAUGGUAUGCCUCCGGAUAGGGAUAUAGAUUUGUGCAUUGAUUUAGAACCCAGUACUCGUCCCAUUUCUAACCCUCCAUAUCGCAUGGCUUCGGCGGAAUUAAGAGAGCUUAAGCCUCAAAUCCAAGAACUUCUUGAUAAGGGAUUCAUUCGUCCUAGUGCUUCCCCGUGGGGCGCUCCAGUUUUGUUUGUCAAGAAGAAGGAUGGUAAUAUGAGGAUGUGUAUAGAUUACCGACAAUUGAAUAGGGUCACUAUUCGAAACAAGUAUCCCUUGCCUCGAAUAAAUGAUCUUUUUGACCAAUUGUAGGGUGAUUCAAUUUUCUCCAAGAUUGAUCUAAGGUCUGGCUACCAUCAGUUGAAAAUUAGGCCUAAGGAUAUGCCCAAAACGGCGUUUAGAACCCGCUAUGGGCACAAUGAAUUUCUGUUUAUGUCUUUUGGUUUGACUAAUGCACCUGCAACUUUCAUGAGUUUGAUGAAUGGGGUGUUCAAGCCAUUUCUUGAUUCUUUCGUCAUAGUCUUUAUUGAUGAUAUUUUGGUCUAUUCAAAAAGUGAGGAAGUGUAUGCCGACCAUCUUCGUAUUGUUCUGGGUGUUUUUGGGAAACAAAGUUAUAUGCGAAAUUCUCUAGGUUUGAAUUUUGGUUGACUUCGGUUCCAUAUUUGGGGCAUUAGUUUCAAAAGAAGGGGUAAUGGUAGAUCCUCAAAAUAUUGAGGCGGUUAAGAAUUGGGUACAACCUAGCUCUGUGACGGAAGUUAGGAGUUUGUAGGGCUCGCUAGCUACUAUCAUCGAUUUGUGAAGAACUUUUGCUUCUAUCGCCACUCACUUGACAAAUUUGACCAAAAAGGAGAUACCAUUUUGAAUGGACUGAAAAAAAAUGUGAGGAGAGCUUUCAAAAGCUCAAGACUCUUUUGACCACCGCACCCAUUCUAGCAUUACCGGUUGAAGGUAAGGAUCUUAUUGUUUAUUGUGAUGCUUCACAUUCUGGUUUUGGUGCUGUGUUGAUGCAGGAUAAGAAUGCUAUAGCCUAUGCAUCACGUCAAUUGAAGGUGCAUGAGAGGAAUUACCUAACACAUGAUUUGGAGUUGGUAGCGGUAGCGUUUGCUCCUAAGAUUUAGCGACAUUAUCUGUAUGGUGUUAAAUGUGAGGUAUUUACUGAUCAUCGUAGUUUGCAGCAUGUGUUUACUCAAAAGGAUCUGAAUUUGAGACAGAGAAGAUGGAUGGAGUUAGUCAAAGAUUAUGAUGUGACCAUUCAAUACCAUCUGGGUACGGCAUACGUUGUGGCAGAUGCUUUGAGUCGCAAAGCGGUGAGCAUGGGUAGUUUAGCUGGCUUGAGUGUAUCCAAACGACCCUUAGCUAAGGAAAUUCAGACCCUGGAGUCUAAGUUCAUGCAGUUGGGCAUCUCAGAAAGAGGUGGGGUGUUAGCUAGCAUUGAAGUGAGGGCCACAUUCAUUGAGGAGAUCAAGGCCAAACAUUUUGAGGAUGAGGAUUUAGAGGAGUUUAGAAAGAAAACUGCGAUUGGUGAGGCACAAGAGACCACUCUUGAUGCGGAGGGUGUGCUCAGUUUUAAAGGGAGGAUUUGUGUUCCCCGAGUUGAUGACUUGAUUAAAAAAUUGUUGAUAGAAUCACAUGGCUCGCGAUAUUCUAUUCAUCCGGGUGUGACCAAGAUGUAUUGAGAUUUGAAGAGAAUUUAUUGGUGGUCGGGCAUGAAGAAGGAUAUAGCAAAGUUCGUGGCUAAGUGUCAAAAUUGCCAACAAGUGAAGUAUGAACAUCGAAGGGCUGCAGGUUUGCUGCAAAGAUUGCCAAUUUCGGAAUGGAAGUGGGAAAGGAUAGCCAUGGAUUUUGUGGUUGGUCAUCCCAAGACUUUGGGGAAGUUUGAUUCUAUUUGGGUAGUGGUUGAUAGAUUGACUAAGUCAGCCCAUUUUAUUAUAAUGUUGAACAAUUGGCUAAAGUUUAUGUGAAAGAGAUAAUGAGGUUGCAUGGGGUGCCCCUUUCUAUCAUGUCAGAUCGUGGUACUCAGUUUACCUCCAAGUUUUGGAGGAAAUUACAUGAUGAAUUGGGAACACAACUCACUUUUAGUACAACCUUCCAUCCACAGACGGACGGACAGUCAGAGAUGACUAUUCAAGUGUUAGAAGACAUGUUGAGGGCAUGCAUGUUUGAUUUUGGAGGGCAUUAGGAUAAGUUCUUACCUUUGUGUGAGUUCUCUUAUAGUAAUAUUUAUCACUCCAGUAUAGAUAUGACACCGUUUGAGGCACUACAUGGAAGGGGAUGUAGAUCACCCAUAUGAUGGUUUGAUGUUGGAGAUGUGAAACCUUUGGGGGUUGAUAUAGUGAAGGAUGCUCAAGAUAAGAUGAAGAGUAUUCAAGCUAAGCUUUUAGCAGCCUAGAGUAGGCAGAAAAAGAAUGCAGACAAUAAGGUAAGAGACAUGACAUUUCAGGUUGGUGAGAAUAUUCUUCUUAAAGUAUCACCCAUGAAAGGGGUGAUGAGAUUUGGUAAGAAGGGAAAGCUAAGUCCGCGAUACAUUGGUCCCUUUGAGGUUCUUGAAUGCGUAGGCCAGUGGCUUAUAGAUUUGCUUUACUUCCUAAUAUAUCUGAAGUUCAUUCGGUAUUUCAUGUGUCUAUGUUGAAGAUAUAUCAUGGUGACGGGGAUUAUAUCAUUAAGUGGGACUCAAUUAUAUUAGACAAAGACCUCCAAUAUGAAAAGGAACCGAUUGCAAUUCUUGAUUGUGAUGUGCGUAAGCUGAGGACCAAUGAGAUUAAGUUCGUGAAAUUUCAAUGGAAGCUUCGUCUAGUUGAGGAAGGUACUUAGGAAACCGAGAGGGACAUACGAGACAAUUAUCCCUAAUUGUUCGUCGAUUCGGGUACUACUUCACUCCUUCCUUAGCCUAUUUUUUCCUAAGUUUGUCACUCGGGGACGAGUGAUGGGAUAAUUGGUAUCUAUUGUAACGACCUGUUCUCGUCGUUAUGGGAAAGCCAAUGGGGAAAAUUUUCAGGUCGGAAAACUUUUUCGUAGUAUCUUGAGAUUUCCCAACCUAGUCCAGAUUUGGAUGAAAUCGGAGUCAUUAAAGUGUAGAGAAACAUGGUAACAAUUGGAUGAUUUAAUUAUGAUUUUGUUACAUGAGUAUACACAUAAGUCGUUAAGGAAUUCGUACGACUUUACGGAAUUGAAUUCGGGUGAGUAGAACUCCCGGAAUUGAUCUUAGCGUGAACAGUAUUUUCUAAGUGUCGUUGGUGGAAGGUGUGUUGUGAAAUGGGGGUCUUGGAAUUAUUAAAAUAGCUCACUGUUUCGUGCAAGCCGCCUUGGCGGUGAUUUUGGUCGCUCUGGCGGGGUCACUGUAACGGAGUGAUGACCGUUGUGGCAGGCCAGACGUGACUUAAAGUCAUAAAUAAACCCCAAAUUGUGUUUAUUCUGCACUUUUCAGUUUUUUAGAGCUAAGGAACGAACCCCAUGCGAUUCUUGACAGUUUUCCAACAUUCUUAAGGCUAAAGGUAAGAUUUUAACUUCCCGAAUCCAUUUUUUCGAUCCGUAGAACAUAAUCUAAGGGGUAAUUAUCGAUGGGGGAGGGUUUUGAUCUAGAAACUAUAGUGGAAAAACCCCUAAUUUGGAUACUUGGGAUCAUGGGUAUGAUCUGGGGUUGUUAGAAUCGUUAGUUAUCCGGGUAAUUUGUGAUUGUUUAUUGAUUCCCGUGUUAUAUUGAUUGUUUAUAGACCAAAAACAAACGAAACGAAUACGCAAAGGGAAGGAUCAAGUUUCUUAGGGUUUCAAGCUUGUUUCGAGGUAGGUGAUGGGUUGUGAUUCUAUAAUUGUGUGAUGUAUGUUUGUUCUUGCUUCAUUAUGAUACAUGUAUGUAUGUGAAUGUUGCAUUAUUGAUUACACUUGUUGUAAAUGAGGAUAUAUGAAUGAUGAAUGUCAUGAAUCAUGACUUGAUUGUAUGAUUAUGAGAAUGUACUUUGUGAUUGUGAUUGUGGCUUGUUGAAUGGAUUGGGUGUUGCGUUCUGACACACUAACUUGAAUUGGUUGCCAUGUUCCGGCAUAAUUAUGGGAUCGGUUACCACGUUCUGGCAUAAUGAUUGGAUCAGGUACCACAUUUCGGUAUGCUAACUGUUUGGCUUUGGGUUCCAUGAGAGGACCAAUGACUUGUCAUAAUUGUGUAUCUUGAGAAAUGUGAAGGUGUCCGUUGUUCGUAAAUGUUAAUAAUGUUGUAUAUUCUCGAUAUAUGCAUGUGAUUAUAUUGUUGUAUUGACUUAUAUAUGUUGCACUUAGUGGGAUAGCCGCGUGAUCCUACCAGUACACUGUGGUUGUAUAUUGAUACUGCACUUGCUCUUUCUUUGUUGAGUAUAGGGCAUCUUCAGGCGGCUUUUGACAGACCUCGCUUAGAAGAUCAGUGAUCACUUUCGAAUUCAAGGGUGAGCCAGUUCUUCUAGGCUGCCAUGAGUUCUUCUUUUGUCUAUGUCCACAUUUCAGACUUAGACUUUGUAGUUAGUUAAUUAGUUCAUUAGUUUGGGGUUGUAAAGCUUCUUGUUUAGACUUAUGGAUCUUGGUAGAGUUUUGGUACAUUGACUUUCAGGUUCUAGGCGUAUUUUCCGCAUUGUUUAGUUGUUAAAUAUUUUGGAAGUUUAUGGGAACUUCUGUUUUUAGCGAUUUAUUCUUGUUUUUGUAUCCUUAAAUGUAUUAGUUUUGGUUUAAUUGAUUGUUUUGGGUUGUAGUAGUGGUUCUUCUACCGGAGGGUUAGUGUGGGUGCCUAUCACGAUGGUCUGGGUUGUGAUAGAUAUUGACCCCGAGUUAUUUCUAAUUGAGUUUUUAAAGUUGAUUUCUAACGUUUAGUUAUAAGUUGUGAAGUUUUGUAAGAUUUGAGUUUGAAAGGCUUAAGUUGUUAAAAAGUGAUUUUCAGCGUCUUUCAAAGUUUUGAGUGUCAUAAUAGAAUUUCGUCGAUCACAUUAGUCCGAAAUAUGGAAUCUGGUUUGUGAGAGUUGUCAGUUUAAGAUUUAGAGUCUUUUUUAUAUUUGAGAUCCUAAGUUGGAAAAUUAUGGAAAUUUAGCCUUUGAGUUAACUUUGGUCAACAUUCGGUGUUAGGAUAAGGUUGUGUAGGAACAUUCAAGGUGAAUGAAACCUUAUGGAGCUAAAAUGGAGUAAGGAAUUGCGGAGACAUCGCAAGGAGCACUACUGAUUGGAGCGAUGCGCCAAGGGCUAAACUACUGCCACCUCUGAGUGGCACACUGACUGGCGUGAGGCGCUAAAGAGGAAACUACUGGCACGCUUCUGUGUCGCACUGGCUGGCGCGGCACGCCAGAGCAAAAAUUAUUGAGAAUUGAAGCUGGCGCACUGAGUGGCACGGCACCCCAGCCUUUGCCCGACGUGCCCAGCGAAAACUGAUUUAGUUAGGACUCCUGUUUGGUUUGGAAUUAGAAGAACUUUUCCUAAACUCUAUAAAUAAGACCCUAUGGUUAUUUUGUAAAUGGUCAACUUCAUUUUGGUGUGCAAGAGCAAGGAUUAACACAUUGUAAUAGGUUUCAAUUUUCUAACUCUUUCUUUAAUUGUGAAUCACAUGAACAAUAUUAUAUUUGAGUUGUUGAAUAUUAUGAGUGGUUAAACGCCCUUGUUUUGGGGAUGUAGCUACGGAUAAUUGUUGAGCAUCAACGAUUUUGAAUUAAUUUUGGGUUAUCGUUUUAAGUUACUUUUGUGUUCUUAUUUUAGUAUUUCUUGACUGCCAUAAUAGAGAUAAAUCUCGUCUACUGUUGGACUCAGGAGACGAUAAGAUAGAUAGACUAAAGGAUACAAAAAGCUUGAUCUUUCUUAAAUUGAUUAGAUUUGUGUUUAGGAGUGAAGCCCAGACGAACACCUAGGUUGGUUAUAAAAUAGGAUGAAAUAUAAAUGCUUGUCAAUUAGACAGCUAAUUGGAGUAGGCGAUUAGAGGUCGGGAGACCAUGAUCAUAAAAUCAACCCUGUAAAUCAGUAACUUGAUAACCUUAAUUAGUUUAUUACUUGAGAUGCAAUAUGUGAAAUCCGGUGUAUGCUGCAGCCCUGGAAUUGACUCUUACUUGUUUAAAACAUCAAAAUGAAGUCGUUCGCACUAGUUACUUUAGUUAUUAAAUUUGUCAUAGUAGUAAUACACAACAACCAAACUCUUUUGAAGAUACUUUUGUUAAAUUGUGGAAUUAAGUUAGUAAAUAUAAAUUGAUCGUAAGUCUCUUGGGUAAGAUAAAUCGUUUCUACUUGUACAACCACAUACACUUGCGUGUGCAUUUGGGCGCAACAAGUUUGUGGCACCGCUUUCGGGGACUUUAGAAUUGAUUUAUAUUUAAUUUUCUUAAGUCUACUAUUUGACUAUUCAAGUGCUAACAACUUGAUCUUAGCUCUUCUGUAUUGCAGACAUUUUGUUCUUAAGUUUGGCUCGAAAAGGAGAUCUCAUUGACCCAGACGACAAACUUGAAAGAGCUCUUCGACUACGAAGAAAACUAACGAAUCAAGGACGUCUGCAAGAAUUAGGAUUGGGUCUCUUGGAAAAUAUUAAAGAGAAGCACGAGGAUAACAUGAAUAACGAAGGACAAGAGGUAACCGUGGUAGUACCGACAAGAUUAGUUCUUGAUAUGACAGUCCCACUCACAGUCAACGUGGAAUCAAGUAUACGGAAACCACCACCAGGUGGAUGAUUUGAACUGAAACAAAACAUGGCAUACCUCAUUCACUCAGUGGGGCAGUUCACCGACCUUCCUCACGGGGAUCCCCAAGUGAAUAUAAUAAAUUUUCAGGAAAUAAGCGAUACAUACAUUACAAAUAGGGUAUCAUCUGACUAUGUGAGGUUGACUCUCUUCCCACUUUCAUUAUUGGGAGCAGCCAGACAAUGGUUAGAUACAGAGCCACCAAAUUCCAUCACUACAUUGGAUUAUUUAGCAAAUAUAUUCUUGAGUCGAUUCAUUCCAUUAGGCAAAACUGCAAGGUUGAUGAGUGAGAUCCUAAGCUUCAAGCAGAAAAAUGGAGAAGAUAUGUACCAAGCAUGGACUCGAUUUAAGCAGAUGUUAAAUGCUUGUCCACAUCACUACCAGGUGAUUGAGGUACUAGCUCACACUUUCUUUGAGGGUCUUGAUUAUAAUGCACGAGUACUUCUUAACAAUGCAACAUGUGGACAAGCUUUGGCAAAGACUUAUGAGGAACUAUUUGAUCUCCUAUAUAGACUCUCGGAGGGAAAACCCGAAUGGAAUAGAGAGGAAUCAAGGAAUACGACACAAAGGAUUGCAGGAAUUUUAGAUGUGGAUCAAGCAACUGCUAUAAAUGCAAAGUUAGAUGCAAUGCACCAUCAAAUAACCAUGCAGUUCAAGCAAAUCUCACUAAAUCAACAACAAGCACCAAUGAAUGCUAUACAAAAAUCUGGUGGUUGGUGCGGAGUUUGUGGUAGUGGAGAGCAUGUGACUGAAUAGUGUGAAGAAAAUCCAGACUCCAUGAACUAUGUGGGUAAUUCUCAAAGAGGUGGAGGUAUACAGAAAUAUGGUAAUACAUACAACUCAAGUUGGAGAAAUUAUACUAACUUCUCAUGGGGUGAAAAUAAAAAUCAGAACCAAAAUCAGGCAAAAGGGUCCAACCAAUACCGAGCAUAAGAGAAUGGGUCUCAUUAUCAAAAUAAUAGUCAAGGCGGUAACCAAAGUGCACAAAAAGGGGGUAUGACUAAUGAAGAGUUGUUCCAAAAGCUGAUGAUAGAAAUUGGUAAGAACAGUACUGACAAUACUAAAACCAAUGAAAGGGUAGAUAGGCAGGAUGAGAACUUGAGGAAUAUCCAAAUGUCGCAGAUGAAUUUGGAAAAAACAAGUGGUGCAAAUAGCUGAUGCGCUCAACUUGCAUCCACAAGGAGGUCUGCCGGGUGACACUGAUCCCAACCCAAAGCAAUUGAAUGGGGUGAGUACCAGAAGUAGGCUACAACUAGAGGAACUAGCUCCAAAGAAGAGAGAUGUGGAGGUAGUAGGUGGAGAAAAGAAACAAGAAGAGGUGAUAAAGAACUCAAAUGUUGAGAAGAGUGUUCCUCAUGUGCAACCACCUCCUCCUUUUCUACAAAAGUUCAUAAAGUAGAAUGAAGAUGAAUGCUUCGGUAAGUUUCUCUCUCCUUAAACAAGUUCAAAUUAAUCUGCCUUUGGUUGAUAUUUUGCAGGAAAUUCCUAAAUAUGCCAAGUAUGUGCAUGAAGGAGAUAGUGGCGAACAAGAGAAGGCUAACAGAGUAAAUAAGGGGCGAAAUGGAAGAAAUUUUCAACAACUCUCCUGAACUUUGAACAAUUUACUUAUUUUGAACUAUGAAAUAAGACCUGAUAAUUCACCUAUUUUGAAACAGAGGGAGUAUUAAGUUAAGUAAUUUUUAUGUAACAAUAAAAAUAAAGGAAAGUACUGCUCCCUCUGUCCCUAAUUACUUGUCCACUUUUCAUUUUUUAGUUAUCCAUAAUUACUUGUCCAUUUUGACAAAUCAAGCAAUGACAUUUUUUUUUUACCUAUUAUACUCUCAAUUAAUUACUUUGAAAAAUAUAGAACUUUUUGAAAAUUAUAAGUUUUUAAUUCAUUUACUUCAUAAUUAAUAAGGGUAAAUUGGUGAAUUCAUUGUGUCAGUAGUUAUUUUCUUAAUAGAUAUGCCAAUUUAAAAGUGCACAAAUAAUUAGGUAUAGGGAGUAACUUUGUUGAGAUAUUUAUGAAUAUAAACUUAAAUGACCUUCCAUGACCAUAUAUUUGCCAGCUUUAGCAACUCCACCUAUCAAUUUCCUCCGAAACAAAACCCCACACAAUGACUUUGAAAAGUUUCCUCUCUACAGCUCCAACUUAUAAGGACUUGAACUUGCCAUAAUUUAUAUUAAAAAUUCUUGCAUUGUCAAUAUCACAAUUUGUCAUCUAUUAGUUAUACAUAACAUAAUAUCAAAUAGAGCGAUAUUAAUAAAUAACAAUAUAUAAAGUUAAUGAAUACACUGUUUUUUUAAUGCAUCUACUAUUAAAAAUAGAGGUUUUUUUCACCAUGAAUCAAUAAGAAAUUUUUGUCAUUAAAUAUGAUUUACCUAUUUUUAUCUAACCAACUCACUGAAAUAAUGCAUGAUAAAAAAUGGAUUGUCAUUGAAAUACCGGGAAUAACAACUAAACAUUUUUUCGUUUCUCACUAAUUUAACCAAAAUAUGAAUAGAAAUAGUCAUUUAAUAUUUUUCAGUAGAAAAAAAAUUACUGAUCCUACCAAAAGACCCCUAACGUGCACACUAUACUCUUAAACGUAAAAGCAAAUGGAUAUUUUCAAUUUUAACCUUAUUUUCCCAACUCCCAUAAACCAUAAAUGCAAAUUAUGUAGUGUGAUACUCUCUAUGUCCCUAAUUACUUGUCCACUUUUCCUUUUUUAGUUGUCCCUAAUUACUUGUCUAUUUUGACAAAUCAAGAAGGACACAUUUUUUUUACAUAUUGUACACUCAAUUAAUUAAUUUGAAAAAGGUAGAACUUUUUGAAAAACUUAAAUUUUUAAUUUAACCACUUCAUAAUUAAUAGGGGUAAAAUGGAAAAGUUACUAUGCCAAUUAUUAUUUUCUUGAUAAGUGUGUCAAUUCAAAAGUGAACAAGUAAUUAGGAACAGCGGGAGUACUAGUAUAGAACAAUUAAUGUACUUUAGUGUCUAGUAUAGAACAAUUAAUGUGCAAAGUACUAAGGUAUCUUAUCAUAAUUUGUCAUGGAUUGAACAUUCACAUUACAAAAGUUCUAGAUCUAAAUUAAAUCCAUAUAAAACUAAAUGCAUAAUGUUGAACAUCACGUAUAAUAAACUAUGGAGUACUUGAAUAUUCACAUUACCAUUAAGGUAGCUUUCAAAUUUGCCUUGAUUUCUUCUAUUGUAACCAUAACAUGGUGGUGGUGUUUGCACACCGUCAUACGCUGCUACCGCCGUCACAACAACGCCGAUGAACAUGAAGCUCCUCCGACACCGACACCGGCACCGGCACCGGCUAUAAACCCAUCCGUUAACAUCCAACCUGACGAUGACGUUUAAGGUGAUUAUACUUUUGAAAUAAUGGAUUCAAUUAUUUUUUGUAGUUUUAUUAUUUUUCAUAUAUAAUGUAUUGUGUACGUGUUUAUUUUUACAAACAAUUUAUGUACUCUCUUUGUCUCUAUUUAUGCGGCAUAGUUUGAUCGGAUUUCAAGAGUGAAGUAUUUUAAUUUUUAUCGUGAAUUUGAAAAUUACGUAAAAAGUACCACAAGUCAUGAUAAUAAUUAACAAUGUAAAAUAUAUAAUUAAAAAUAGAGGACUUUUUUUGCAAAUGACACUAUAAUAAACUUAGUUAUGCUCCAUAGUUAUAGUUUGCAUAUUUAUGAGUUGUAACUACAGUUUAAGUUUCAUCAUUUGUAUAAUUCGCGUGUGAGUUUGUAUAACUAAGUUAUUUUUAUAAAAACUUGAAAUAAUAAAUCUAUACAAACACAAAUAUCUGAACUUUAAACAGUUAUACAAAUUAUAUUAUACAAAAUUACAUUAUACAAAAGUUAUACAAAUUAUAUUAUACAAAUUCUGAAUUAUACAAACGUGCGAAUUAUACAAACUCGAAACCCCAGCCCACGUAAUUAUCAAUGAAAGUUGGUCGCGAGUGGUAAUUAACUAAAACUAUAGCUAUGACGACUAAUUAACUAGUAUAUGUUUGCUUAAUCAUGUAAUUUCCCCUUAAAAGAAUAUUACAAUAAAAAAGACUUAUUUGACUAUCGAAAUUUAAAAAUCGUACCACACAAAUUGAGACGAAUGAUCGAGUAUUAUAUAUAUAUAUAUAUCAAGACUAGAUGAAUUUACUUAUAUAUAGUAUAACUUAAUUGCUAUAUAUAUAUAUAUAGAGAGAGAAAAUAUACCCCCUUCCAAAAUUGAAUUUUCUUUUUGGCUCUAAUGUUUUGUGGCACAGGGACAAGGAAACAUCUAUGAAGCUACAAAAAUUAUCUGCAAAAUGAGUGAAAUUAAAGACAGUUCGUUUUUUUCCAAUUUUUCAUUCGAUGUUCGAAAUUUAUAUUGGAACCCGAUUAAUUUGAAUUUGUAUUGUGUAAUGCUUCAUCUUUUAUGAAGUGUUUUCUACCAAGAAUCUUUCCAUAGUUCAUUUAUUUUAGAGAUAAAGUACUAGAAUAAUAUUGUUGGUUGUUUAGCUAAUGAACCAAAUUUGAUAAAUUUAAUUUGAUAGUUUUUUCAUUUGCCUUCCCAAAAAUAUGUCUAGUUGUGCAGAAAAAAGAAUGUUAUUAGCUACACAUAAUUCAUAUGUAAAUUGCAUCCAAUGAAUACAUUUUAUCUAAUGUUUUGAACUUUUCAGUGGUAUUUACUUUAAUUAUACGCAUUUGUCUCAAUAAUUCAAUACUAUAUUCCAGACAUUUCCUAGUUGAGGUUUGUUAUGGGUCAGGUUUUUGACAUUUUUGAAUAAAUCACUUUCAAAUGUCCAGAAUAUUUUCACAAUUUAUAAAAAUACUUAAAUAUACACCACUUAAUUUUAUUUUUGUAAAAGUACCUAAAUUGAUUGAAGGUAAACAUGUAAAAUCUAAGAAAAAAAAUUAAAAUUCUAACCUAUGAAUGGUGCCACAUCAUUUCCUCGAAGAUCUAUGAUAGGUAGAUAGAUAGAUUUUGCUGAAAAAAAUACAUACUAAGAUAGUAAGAUUGCAUCAUUUUAUAAGAUUAAUUAUGAAUACUAUAUAGACUUAAUUUCAUGUAUUGUAGCUAUGGAGAAAAUAUCGAAUAAAAUAGAAAGUUCAUAAAUAUUGUAGAGUUAAAUGUUACUUUUAAUACUAACACAAAAUGAGGGAAAUUCUUCUAGCCACAAAGUUUUUGACCUAAAUAAGUCAUUAUUAAAAUUAAUUCACCAAAACAAUAUGUUUUUUUUUUGAAAUUUUACAAAACUAGUACAAACGUAUUUCUCAGUAACGUUUUAGGUUACAUUUUAUUCAAGAAAAUUUAAUGACAAAAAAAAAAAAA
This 31268-nucleotide long non-coding RNA is filed under the name Solanum tuberosum (potato). RNAcentral's name for it is "long non-coding RNA (STUB_LNC005794)". Lineage: Eukaryota; Viridiplantae; Streptophyta; Magnoliopsida; Solanales; Solanaceae. The record is from RNAcentral.